RNAcentral lists this transfer RNA (73 nucleotides) under Parcubacteria group bacterium CG2_30_45_37. Its description in RNAcentral is "tRNA-Ala". It matches the Rfam family "tRNA". From Rfam's summary of the family: Transfer RNA (tRNA) molecules are approximately 80 nucleotides in length. Their secondary structure includes four short double-helical elements and three loops (D, anti-codon, and T loops). Further hydrogen bonds mediate the characteristic L-shaped molecular structure. tRNAs have two regions of fundamental functional importance: the anti-codon, which is responsible for specific mRNA codon recognition, and the 3' end, to which the tRNAs corresponding amino acid is attached (by aminoacyl-tRNA synthetases). tRNAs cope with the degeneracy of the genetic code in two manners: having more than one tRNA (with a specific anti-codon) for a particular amino acid; and 'wobble' base-pairing, i.e. permitting non-standard base-pairing at the 3rd anti-codon position. The record is from RNAcentral.
GGGCCGUUAGCGCAGUUGGUAGCGCGUUUGCAUGGCAUGCAAAAGGUCACCGGUUCAAAUCCGGUACGGUCCA